UAGGGAAUCUUCGGCAAUGGGGGCAACCCUGACCGAGCAACGCCGCGUGAGUGAAGAAGGUUUUCGGAUCGUAAAGCUCUGUUGUAAGAGAAGAACGUGUGUGAGAGUGGAAAGUUCACACAGUGACGGUAACUUACCAGAAAGGGACGGCUAACUACGUGCCAGCAGCCGCGGUAAUACGUAGGUCCCGAGCGUUGUCCGGAUUUAUUGGGCGUAAAGCGAGCGCAGGCGGUUUAAUAAGUCUGAAGUUAAAGGCAGUGGCUUAACCAUUGUUCGCUUUGGAAACUGUUAGACUUGAGUGCAGAAGUGGAGAGUGGAAUUCCAUGUGUAGCGGUGAAAUGCGUAGAUAUAUGGAGGAACACCGGUGGCGAAAGCGGCUCUCUGGUCUGUAACUGACGCUGAGGCUCGAAAGCGUGGGGAGCAAACAGG
RNAcentral lists this ribosomal RNA (429 nucleotides) under bacterium. RNAcentral's name for it is "partial 16S ribosomal RNA". It matches the Rfam family "Bacterial small subunit ribosomal RNA", at positions 355 to 776 of the family's 1533-position model. The record is from RNAcentral.